Long non-coding RNA from Heterocephalus glaber (naked mole-rat), 3847 nucleotides. The record is from Ensembl. NCBI's taxonomy places the organism in Eukaryota, Metazoa, Chordata, Mammalia, Rodentia, Bathyergidae.
UAGAUGAUUGUAAAAUUGGCACACUUUUACCAAUGGGGCAUUUUCCUAUAGUCACUGCUCAGAUGAAGAAUUAGAUUAUCAUUAUUUCAAAAGACUCCUUUAUGGCUAUUUCUAGUUAUUACCAAGCAAAGGUAACCAUUAUGGCAUCACAUCAACAUUAUUCACAUUUCUUAUGUUUGAAUGUUAGAUAUGUAGAACCAUACUGAAUGGUGCACUCUGCUGUGUCUGGCUUCUUUAUUCAAUAUUACAUUUGUAAAACUGAACUAAAAUUAAGAAUUGGAUUGAAAAAUAUGACUUCUACAAAUCCGAUGUCUUGCUCCAUAUCAAACUGUGUUAAUAAUUUCAAAGAUAAUGGCAAUGAAAAACCUCAGAGAAGGAAGAAAGAAUACUGGGAUAAUCUGUGGCUCUCUAGACCUGAUCCUUCUUUUUCAAAUCCUUUCCUGUGUAGGCUUCAUUGAGAAAUCCUGGGCCAGUGUCUCUCUAAGGACCUUGAGAUCUGCCUGUAUACAGGAGACAGAUCUUGAAGGCUGUGUAGAGGAGACUGAGCCUUCAACUGACCAAUCUGAGUUACAACUAGCCCUUGGGAACAAAUUGAGUUCGUAAGUCAAGGGUUCACUGUAUGCUUUUAAAGUUGCCUUUCUCCCCUUAGCAUUAUGGGACUUAUCCCACUAGGAAGGGGAGGGGAGGCAACCUCCUGCCCUUUAUUCUGUGUGAUUUCUUGGGGAUGGGUGAGAACAAAGGCUGUGCACAGCAGAUGUAGUCUCUGGACACAUUCCUGACAGCUACCAGCCUGAAGAAUAAUUGAAUUAUCAAGUGUGCAAAAGAAGAAAAUAAAUAUGUGAACUCUCAACAUAUUAAUUUUUGUCUCACCAUAGAACAAUGAAACAGAGAAAGGAGAAAACACUGGAAGAGAAUUGGCUAAGAUUACAGGGAUAUAUUUUAUUUAUGUCAAGGAUGAAGAUGCAUAUACAAAAGCACACUAUUUCUAACACCCAGGAACAACAUGAUUUGCAUAGAUCCUUACAUGAAAUUUCAGGAAGAAAUGGACCUCAUUUAUUGGACUACUGCAAAGAUGAAUUGGCCACAGAAGACAGUAAAUCUCAUUUUGGAAAAGUUAUCCUUACUAUUGAAGGCUUCUAUCAAUAUCUAUAAAACAAGAAAGUAAUUUUGAAUAAAGAAGGAAUAAAAUAGUGGAAAAAUAAUAUAAAAACACUUGUAUAUUCAUGUUAAAAAUACUCUGCAGAGAGAAUUCCAACUCCUUACAUAUUGAUGUAGAUCUCGGUGGUCUUCAGUGUUUUAGUGUUUCUGUUUCUGUGUAUCAAGUAUUCUUGAAAUUGCUUUAAUAAGAAUUAUAUUACCCCAGGGAUAGGUAGAAAUUAUAUAUUGACAAGUUCAGCAUGGGAAAUGUUCCUUCCACUAAUUUUAGAAUCUAUAGAGGAAUUACCCAUUGGUCAAUUUUCUUAGAGAAGGAUACAGAAUUCAAAAUAAGCGAGAAUUUUCUCAGGAGACUUGAAGCAGACCAGUUACAUGUUGUUGGUAAUGAGGAAACAGAAUUGCUGAGAUGUAAUAAGCUCAGAGUUUGAGGGUGAUGGGGACAGAGGAGGCACAUGACUAGCUGUGUGUUAAAGAUAAAGGCCUUCUGGAGAAGAUGGCUUCCUUGUCUAAGGUUAUCCACAGAUACUCAGUCUUAUCUGUCAUGACUAUACACAUCCUGAAUGUGACAAAAAUAAACAAAGCAAACAAACAAAGCAGUCACUAAGCAAGUUCUCAUUGACUGAGCAUCAUGUUCUGUGCUCUAAUGCAAUCUUGCUCCAUGCCUCAACACAGCAAACUCAGCAUCUUCUUAUGAGCUUAUCAAGGUUCAAGCAAUCACUAUUGCACAACACCAGAAAAAACUGGAACACUGUUGUAUGCUUUAUAGCCUGAGGUUAUUUCAUAAUGUUAAUGGGUAAGUCUAUAACUUUUUUGUGGGCCAACUAACUGUUGUAUCAAGCUUUUUGUCUUUUACUGGUUUAGGUAGUAGUCCAUCCGGAAUUGACUUUUGUUUAUAGUGUGAAGAAGGAAUUCAGGAAAGAUGUGAGGUAUUUAGAUAUCAUUUUCAUUUGACUAAUUUUGAAGAGUAAUAAACAUUCUAGGAUAGGAUUAUACUGUAGUUCAAUUUUCAUAUAUGAUUUAAAAAUAAGAAGCAACAUCACGAAGAAGUUAUUUUUAUCCUAAAAUUUACAUAGUAGUGUAAAGGAUUAAAGCUAACCAAGACAUUCUUGAAGAACAAUAAAGUAGAAAAAUAGACAUGUAUCAGAGACCCCUGCAGCAGAUCCCAUCUUCUGCUUGGUGUUACAAUGCAUGAUGAGAAGACUUAGAGACAGAAUUAGAGAAACAGAGACAGGGAACUGGGAUGAUCAGCUCUUGUGCAAGCAAAGGCUUGAGAAAGCCAUAGCCCUGGCCAGCCAAAACAAUCAAUAUUUAUUGGUGACACAAUCAUUGGUUAAAUUGGGGUGAGGGGACUAUGUGUGGUUGCUAUAGAUGUGUUGCUGAGGCAGGCAAGGCUUGUAAAAGAAGAGACAAAGCAUUCUUGUGUUAGUUUGGGAAUGGUAUUUGGGUAAGAGUCACUUUGACCUCACUGUGUGUUAUCUCAUAGGCUUUGGUCAGACUUACUUCUUCAACUAAGCCAAUUGUGGGGUUAAUUCUUUACAGCCUGCAUUGUUUGCAGCAUUCUUUGUGCAGAAUCAAUGGGGCGGUUUGCCACAGGUGUGGAAAGAUAUAUGAAUGAAGAGAAUGUUAAUUGGUUUGUACUAAUAAAUCAGUGGAAAUGAACAGACUCAGGCACAUUUGGACAUUUGCUAUAUGAUAAGGAUAGUGUUGCAGAUGAGUAGAAAACAGUAAACUAUUCAUAGGUGGUGCUAAGUCUAUUGAUCACUCUCAUGGAAAAAUGAACUGAAUCCCUUCCUCACACCAUAAAUGAAACUGAAAGUGUAAAUGAGAAUCAGAGUGUAUAAUAGAUAAUAUGAAAUAGGAAGAAAAGGUCCAAAGGGGAAAGGAAGAGGGAGGGGUAGAGGAAAAGAAAGAUAGGAAAGGAAUAAAUAUGAGAAAAGGAAAAACCAGAAACAAAUUCUUUGUAAAUAGAAAGGGAUGGAAUGGUUGAAGGGAGGGCAGGGGAAUGGGGAAAAAAUAAGAAGCAAGAUAUAUCAUGUAAAUGUACAAAUUCCCAGUGAUGAAUGUCAUCACAUUGUACACCUAAAAUGUAUCAAUAAAAUUAAUGAAUAAAAAAGUGAAUUUCAGGUGGACUACUAUCUAAAUGCUAUAAGGUUUUUAGGAGAUAAAAUAGAAUGACACCUUUAUAACUUGGGGAAAAGAAAAUUUUAUUACAUCAUUUUUUAAAGUAAGACACAAAAACUUAACUAUGAAAGACUAAAAACAACUACAUAGAUUCCUAAAAGUCCCGAAGAAAAUUAAGUUAGAAAAAGGGACAAAAAUUUUGAACAAUCACUUUGUAAAAGAGAAAAUUCAAAUCUGCAUUAAUGGAUAAAAGAUACUUUAUUCAUUAGUAAUAAAAUAAACAAAUUAAAGCAGUUUUGUUUUUUACAUUUUUGUGAUUUGAUUUAAUUAACAUACCAUAAGCUGCAUGUACUCAAAGUAUCAGAUUUGAUGGCUUUUGAUGUAUGACUACUGUGAAAGUAUCGUGCCAGUUAAGGAUACAAACAUUUCUGUCUUCCCUCAAAUGCUAAUGGUGCUCUUGUAAUCCAUUCUUUCCAUUUCUCUUGCUCUUUCAGUCCUUAAGCAACAACUUACAAGUUGUGUGUUGUCACUCUAAGUUGUUGGGUUUUAAAAAAUUUUAAAUGUAAGUGGG